This 644-nucleotide ribosomal RNA is filed under the name uncultured Bacteroidota bacterium. Its description in RNAcentral is "bacterial SSU rRNA". It matches the Rfam family "Bacterial small subunit ribosomal RNA", at positions 60 to 703 of the family's 1533-position model. The record is from RNAcentral. Lineage: Bacteria; Pseudomonadati; Bacteroidota.
AGUCGAGGGGUAUAAGGAGCUUGCUCCUUAGAGACCGGCGCACGGGUGCGUAACGCGUAUGCAAUCUACCUUUUACAGGGGAAUAGCCCAGAGAAAUUUGGAUUAAUGCCCCAUAGUAUAUUUGAAUGGCAUCAUUUGAUUAUUAAAGUCACAACGGUAAAAGAUGAGCAUGCGUCCCAUUAGUUAGUUGGUAAGGUAACGGCUUACCAAGACGAUGAUGGGUAGGGGUCCUGAGAGGGAGAUCCCCCACACUGGUACUGAGACACGGACCAGACUCCUACGGGAGGCAGCAGUGAGGAAUAUUGGUCAAUGGGCGCAAGCCUGAACCAGCCAUGCCGCGUGCAGGAUGACGGUCCUAUGGAUUGUAAACUGCUUUUAUACAGGAAGAAACACUCCCUCGUGAGGGAGCUUGACGGUACUGUAGGAAUAAGGAUCGGCUAACUCCGUGCCAGCAGCCGCGGUAAUACGGAGGAUCCAAGCGUUAUCCGGAAUCAUUGGGUUUAAAGGGUCCGUAGGCGGCCCAGUAAGUCAGUGGUGAAAUCUCCCGGCUCAACCGGGAAAUUGCCAUUGAUACUGCUGGGCUUGAAUUAUCAGGAAGUAACUAGAAUAUGUAGUGUAGCGGUGAAAUGCUUAGAGAUUACAUG